AACGAACGCUGGCGGCAUGCCUAACACAUGCAAGUCGAACGAGACCUUCGGGUCUAGUGGCGCACGGGUGCGUAACGCGUGGGAACCUGCCCUUAGGUUCGGAAUAACUCCCCGAAAGGGGUGCUAAUACCGGAUAAUGUCUUCGGACCAAAGAUUUAUCGCCUUUGGAUGGGCCCGCGUUGGAUUAGCUAGUUGGUAGGGUAAAAGCCUACCAAGGCGACGAUCCAUAGCUGGUCUGAGAGGAUGAUCAGCCACACUGGGACUGAGACACGGCCCAGACUCCUACGGGAGGCAGCAGGGGGGAAUAUUGGACAAUGGGCGAAAGCCUGAUCCAGCAAUGCCGCGUAAGUGAUGAAGGCCUUAGGGUUGUAAAGCUCUUUUACCCGGGAUGAUAAUGACAGUACCGGGAGAAUAAGCUCCGGCUAACUCCGU
Molecule: ribosomal RNA, 432 nt
Filed under: uncultured bacterium
Lineage: Bacteria
Description: partial 16S ribosomal RNA
Rfam family: Bacterial small subunit ribosomal RNA
Source: RNAcentral